Molecule: ribosomal RNA, 253 nt
Filed under: uncultured bacterium
Lineage: Bacteria
Description: partial 16S ribosomal RNA
Rfam family: Bacterial small subunit ribosomal RNA
Source: RNAcentral
UACGUAGGGUGCAAGCGUUAAUCGGAAUUACUGGGCGUAAAGCGUGCGCAGGCGGCUUUGCAAGACAGAUGUGAAAUCCCCGGGCUUAACCUGGGAACUGCAUUUGUGACUGCAUCGCUGGAGUGCGGCAGAGGGGGAUGGAAUUCCGCGUGUAGCAGUGAAAUGCGUAGAUAUGCGGAGGAACACCGAUGGCGAAGGCAAUCCCCUGGGCCUGCACUGACGCUCAUGCACGAAAGCGUGGGGAGCAAACAGG